ACGCUCGACACCUACGGUAGGCAGCAGUUGGGAAUAUUGGACAAUGGAGGAAACUCUGAUCCAGUGACGCCGCGUGAAGGAAGAAGGUCUUCGGAUUGUAAACUUAUUUUGUCAGGGAAGAAAAAUGACUGUACCUGAAGAAAAAGCACCGGCUAACUACGUGCCGACAGCCGCGGUAAUCUGAGCGGGCUGGCAAGGC
Molecule: ribosomal RNA, 199 nt
Filed under: uncultured bacterium
Lineage: Bacteria
Description: partial 16S ribosomal RNA
Rfam family: Bacterial small subunit ribosomal RNA
Source: RNAcentral